GAUGAACGCUGGCGGCGUGCUUAACACAUGCAAGUCGAACGAGGUCCAACCUUCGGGUGAAGACCGAGUGGCGAACGGGUGAGUAACACGUGGGGAACCUGCCCUUCUCUCUGGGAUAACGUCGAGAAAUCGGUGCUAAUACCGGAUACUCCUUGCGGAUCGCAUGGUCUGCUCGGGAAAGCUCCGGCGGAGAAGGAUGGCCCCGCGGCCCAUUAGCUAGUUGGUGAGGUAAUGGCCCACCAAGGCGACGAUGGGUAGCCGAGCUGAGAGGCUGAUCGGCCACACUGGGACUGAGACACGGCCCAGACUCCUACGGGAGGCAGCAGUGGGGAAUUUUGCACAAUGGGCGCAAGCCUGAUGCAGCAACGCCGCGUGCGGGACGAAGGCCUUCGGGUUGUAAACCGCUUUCAGCAGGGACGAAAAUGACGGUACCUGCAGAAGAAGCCCCGGCUAACUACGUGCCAGCAGCCGCGGUAAUACGUAGGGGGCAAGCGUUAUCCGGAUUUAUUGGGCGUAAAGCGCGCGUAGGCGGCUUGUUAAGUCAGAUGUGAAAACCGGGGGCUCAACCCGCGGCCUGCAUCUGAAACUGGCAGGCUUGAGUCUGGUAGAGGAAAGUGGAAUUCCUGGUGUAGCGGUGAAAUGCGCAGAUAUCAGGAGGAACACCAGUGGCGAAGGCGGCUUUCUGGGCCACGACUGACGCUGAGGCGCGAAAGCUAGGGGAGCGAACAGGAUUAGAUACCCUGGUAGUCCUAGCCGUAAACGAUGGGCACUAGGUGUGGGGGGUCAUCGACUCCCUCCGUGCCGAAGCUAACGCAUUAAGUGCCCCGCCUGGGGAGUACGGCCGCAAGGCUAA
RNAcentral lists this ribosomal RNA (853 nucleotides) under uncultured bacterium. RNAcentral's name for it is "bacterial SSU rRNA". It matches the Rfam family "Bacterial small subunit ribosomal RNA", at positions 28 to 897 of the family's 1533-position model. The record is from RNAcentral.